This 2112-nucleotide ribosomal RNA is filed under the name Triticum aestivum (bread wheat). RNAcentral describes it as "partial small subunit ribosomal RNA". Lineage: Eukaryota; Viridiplantae; Streptophyta; Magnoliopsida; Poales; Poaceae. The record is from RNAcentral.
AUGAAGCUGGUGCCGAGGGAGACGGAGAAGCUGGCGCUGCACAGCGCCGGCUUCUUGGCGCAGAAGCGCCUUGCCCGGGGCCUCCGCCUCAACUACACCGAGGCCAUCGCCCUCAUCGCCGCGCAGAUUCUCGAGUUUGUUCGGGAUGGAGACAAAACUGUAACAGACUUGAUGGACUUGGGGAAACAGAUGCUGGGCAGGAGACAAGUUCUUCCGGCUGUUCCAUACCUUUUGGACACUGUACAGGUUGAAGGAACAUUUAUGGAUGGAACAAAACUAAUUACUGUACAUGACCCUAUUUGUUCUGAUGAUGGAAAUUUGGAGCUAGCUCUGCAUGGUUCUUAUCUCCCAGUACCUUCACUUGAAAAGUUUUCUGGGAGUGAUGUUGAGGACUAUCCUGGUGAAGUACAUUUCUGCUCUGGACGCAUAAUCCUCAACCUUCAUCGCAGGGCUUUAACUCUGAAGGUUGUUAACAAGGCAGACAGGCCUAUUCAGAUCGGGAGCCAUUACCACUUUAUAGAGGCCAAUCCGUACCUGGUGUUUGAUAGACACAGAGCCUAUGGCAUGAGACUGAAUAUACCUGCUGGAACAGCCGUUCGGUUUGAGCCAGGGGAUGCAAAAAGUGUUACACUUGUAAGCAUUGGUGGCCAUAAAGUAAUUAGAGGUGGAAAUGGCAUUGCUGAUGGUGCUGUUGACAGUUCUCAGCUUAAUGAGGUAAUGCAGAAGAUUACUGAGUAUGGUUUUGGACAUGAAGAUUAUCCAGACGCAAGCGAAGGUCUUAUUGGUGACGGUACAUUCGACUGCAGUGUUGAUCAUGAGAAAUAUUCUAGCAUGUAUGGACCUACAACUGGUGAUAAGAUUAGGCUUGGUGAUACCGAUCUUUUUGCGGAGAUUGAAAAGGACUUUGCUGUUUAUGGUGAUGAGUGCAUAUUUGGAGGGGGAAAAGUUCUGCGUGAUGGAAUGGGACAAUCCGCAGGGUAUCCAGCAUCUGCCUCCCUGGAUACAGUUAUAACAAAUGCUGUUGUGAUUGACUAUACAGGAAUAUACAAGGCUGAUAUUGGUAUAAAAGAUGGGCUUAUUAUUGCCAUUGGGAAAGCUGGAAACCCCGAUGUCAUGGAUGGUGUGCACAGCAACAUGAUUGUUGGGGUGAAUACAGAAGUUAUUGCUGCUCAAGGCAUGAUUGUAACUGCUGGUGGUAUAGAUUGCCAUGUUCACUUCAUAUGCCCUCAGCUGGUAAAUGAGGCAAUUGCAAGUGGCAUAACAACAUUGGUGGGAGGUGGAACAGGACCAGCACAUGGAACUUGUGCCACAACUUGCACCCCUGCACCGUCUCAAAUGAAACUAAUGUUGCAGUCCACCGACGAAUUUCCAAUCAACAUGGGAUUUACAGGAAAGGGAAAUACUGCAAAACCCGAAGGAUUAUCUGAGAUCAUUAUGGCAGGAGCAAUGGGUUUGAAGUUGCAUGAAGAUUGGGGAAGCACCCCAGCUGCGAUAGAUAACUGUUUAUCUGUUGGAGAAGCUUUUGAUAUCCAAGUUAAUAUCCACACGGAUACCUUAAAUGAAGCAGGUUGUGUGGAGCAUACAAUUGCAGCUUUUAAAGAUAGGUCCAUACACACAUAUCACAGCGAAGGUGCAGGUGGUGGUCAUGCCCCAGACAUCAUUAAAGUAUGUGGGGUGAAAAAUGUGUUGCCUUCUUCAACAAACCCAACCCGGCCUUUUACUUCUAACACUGUUGAUGAGCACCUUGAUAUGCUGAUGGUUUGCCACCACCUUGAUAAAAACAUCCCGGAAGAUGUAGCAUUUGCUGAGUCAAGAAUUCGAGCAGAAACAAUUGCGGCUGAGGACAUCUUGCACGACAUGGGGGCAAUCAGUAUCAUAUCAUCUGAUUCACAGGCUAUGGGUCGCAUUGGAGAGGUGAUUAUCCGAACAUGGCAAACUGCAAACAAGAUGAAAGUCCAAAGAGGUAGGUUACCUGGGGCUGGUGACUCUGAUCCUGCCAAGGAUAAUGACAACUUCCGUAUAAGAAGAUACAUAGCAAAAUAUACCAUAAAUCCUGCUAUAGUAAGCGGCUUCUCAGAUUUUGUUGGUUCUGUGGAGGUAUGUACCUCUUGA